AGUUAAAUAAAAUGAAUAUGAAUUUAUUAGUGUUAGUUGGGGGCAAUUUUUAAAAAUAAAUGAGUCUUUUGUAUUAGCGGACCAAGAAUCUCAAGUAUUUUAUGCUAAUGACAAUUCCAGUGUUGGCGUGUGGUGAGGAAGACGAAACCUCGUGAUUCUUAUGAGAUUGUGCAACAAAUAGAUGGCAGUACUGUAGAUUGAGAAAAUCCUUCACAAAAAAAAACGAAAAAGAAUGGAUGAGGUAAAACAUCUCUUUAUGUAUUGAUAUAUUAACUGUUUUACAUUCUGAUUGCAUGAUAUUUCUGUUAUUACAUUAUUUUCAUUAUGUCAUUCUUAUUUUGGUUUCUUCUGAUUAUUUUGUAGGCCUAACAUGAAAAGAUCAAAGCUUGAAAUUGAGGUUGGAUCCACUGCAAAGGCUACCAAAUAUGGAUUCCUUCCACCAGGUGCUCUAGCAAAGGGACGAGAGCAAGGGCUAAGAUCAGUGUGCUCUUUAGGAGCGUCUGGGAAUAAGGCGGAAUCCUUCCAUCAAAAUACGUUUCGUACUGCUCAAAGUAUGCCUAAACAUUCUACUUGUGAAGGAAGUCAACGUAUGUUAAUAUCUUCUAAUGGUACAAGAUCAAAUUCUCUCAUAUCUGUUGGUGGUCGAGUGCAAGCAGCAAAGAAAAGCUCCAUAGUUCCUGAAAAAGAGCAGAUGCAAACUAAUUUUUCAUUGCCUCCAUCUACUGAUAUUCUAUUCUCUGCAUCUACAAAGAAAAACUCAUUUGUUCCUAGGAAAGAUCAGAUGCAAACUGAGACUCCAUUUCCUCCACCCACUGAUCAAGUUAUGCAAAAAGUUGAAACAUGUAUGGUUUGACAGAUUUACUUGAGACAUACAAUAGUUUUAGAUAUUACUAAAUCGUGCAACGCAGGUUCAGGUACUACUGAAAAGGUAAAAAAAGUAAAAGGAAGGAACAAGUGUAAAGAAGUUGCAUCACUUGAAGUUGGACAAAAGUUGAAAGUAACAUUUUACAAUAAUCGAACUGUUGGAAAGAAUAGCAGUCUAUUUUCGAGGCACUUGGGAAUAAUAGUUUGUGAUCGUAAUAUGUGUCCGUUGGGAGUAUCAUCAUGGGAUGAUAUUAAAGAAGAAAAACUAAAUCACAUGUGGGCAGCUAUUGAGGUAACAAAUGUGUCCAAUUUGUUUAUAAGUUACUUGCUAGAACUCAAAAUAUAUUUUCAGAACCUUACAAUUUUCUUUUGCUAAAUUAGUUUUAUCAAUUUCUUUUUCUAUGUUCUAUCAAUCAUGAAGGUUUUAUACGUUUUGCUAAAGUGUGUAUUAUGAUAUGUUUAAUUUAUUGUAUGAGAAAUUUGUGUGUGAUGACCUAGAUAUUCAUCGCAAUCAUAUUUUGGGAUGGACGAAAGAAUUGUGGAACAAAUGGAGAGGACAAUUGCAUGCAAAGUACGUGAGGGGUAAGAUGAUCCAAGAAACUCUUAAGAAUAUACCAAAGGGAGUGGACAAGAAACAAUGGGAGUGGUUGGUAAAAGAAUAUUUUUGUACAGAAAGUUUACAGGCAAAAAGCAACAGGAACGCAACAAACAGAGCUAAGUUGAAGAUGCCUCGUGAUAUUGGUUGCAAGCCUAUUAGAGCAAUUAUUUAUCAAAAGGUGUUAUCAUAUCUAUUUUUUUUUUAAAUAUUGGGGAGGCAUUAUUUGACAUUUUGACUUUAAUGUGAAGGGCGAGAAAAAUGGCAAUCCACCAGAUUUGGCAGCUAUUUGUUUUUAGACUCGCAAGAAGAACAAGAAGCUUGUUAAAUCCGAGACAAUUGUAAAACAUGUGCGUUUUAUUAAUUAAACAUGUAAGAACUUUUAGUUAUUGGUUCUAAUGGAAAAUUUUCUUUAUAUAUUUUAAAGGCUCAAAUCUAAGAAUUGGUGCAGCCCGAACCAUCUCUUCCUAACAUAGAGAUAGUGUAAAAAUGCUUUGGACCUCAAAUUCGUAGUCAUGUAUUUGGCUUUGGGGUGGAGUAAAAGCAAAAGACUUGAAAGAUGGUGGUUCCUCGAAGGCCGAAUUAAGAUCUGAGAUACGUUCAGUUCUAGAGCAAAACCAAUCAUUGAAGCAUCGAUUGUCUACUGUAUAAGAUGAGGUGAAAGAACUGAAGGAACUAAAAGAAUAUUUCUUAAGUCAACACUCUAAUGUCCAGCCUCUGGUGGCUCAACACGCUAAUGUCCAGCCUUCGGCAUCACUAUAUCAGGAGAAUGACCAUUGAUGAACAUACGAAGUUAGUAACAACUUACUCAUUUCAAUCAUUUUUUAGUUAAUAAAUAUUUGAAUACAAUACAUUGUUGCAAUUAGUAAAAUUCUCUUGCAACUAGUGUGUUACUUGGCUUAAAAGAUGUGUUUUAGUUGCACAACUAAUAAUGAGAUUGUUGCAACUAGUCUCAACUAUGCUGUUACAACUUGUAAGCCUGUUCUCAACGGGUGAACAUCUUAGACUGCUGCAACUAGUAUAAAUUACUGAAUGAGUUAGCAAGUUUCAUGUUACUAUAAUAGCUAAAGAAGAGCUUUUUAAAGCUGAAAAAUCUCCCAGUAGUUUUCCAUUUAACUUGUUGAUCAAUGAGUAUGGUGUUGUUACUUGUAUGGUGUUGCAUUAAAAAGUGGGGUGGUACCAAGAAAUAAAAUUGUGGUAUGUUUGAGCAGACCAAGAAACAACAAGUUCUUACUAGCAAGAAACAGAAUAAAUCUGAUACAAAAAACAAAGAUAUGGAUAAUAAUAAAGGAAAUACUGACGGUCUAUCUACUGACGUUAUAUGUUAUGGUUUGUAACCACUAUAUAACAUUAAAGAGGUGAACUUGUAACGACCCGGUCAGACGUUUUGGGAAUUUAAGUCCCGUUCGGCGGCAUAAGGUCUUGAGCAGCUUCGUAUUAUGUGUAUUGACUUGCGUGCCUGGUCGAGUUCAGUUACCGGAUGAUUCGGAGUCAAAUCGGGAGAAGGAUUCAAAUUUUGAAAGUUUAAGCGGUAAGAGUUGACCGGAAUUUGACUUUUGUGUUAACGGCUCAAGAAUGGGUUUUGGAUGAUUUCAAUAGCUCCGUAUGGUAAUUUUGGACUUAGGAGUGCGUCCAGAUUUGGAUUUGGAGGUCCGUAGGAUAAUUUGAAGCAUUUCGGCGAAAGUUGGAAAAAGUUGAAGUUUGGAAGGUGGAUAUGUUUGACUGAUAGUUGGCUUUGGUGAUAUCGGGGUCAGAAUGCGAUUCCGAGAGUUGGAACAGCUCCGUUAUGUCAUUUGGGACUUGCCUGCAAAAUUUGACGUCAUUCCGAGUUGAUUGAUAGGUUUCGGCGCGAGUUUUAGAAGUUGGAAGAUUUGAAAGUUCAUAAGUUCGAUUCAUGGUGCGAUUCAUAGUUUCGACGUUGUUUGAUGUCCUCGAGCGAGUCCGUGUUAGAUUAUGAAUCUUGUUGGUAUGUUUAGACGGGGUCCCGGGGGCCUCGGGUGUGUUUCGGAUGGGCUACGGGCCAUUUUCUUCUAUUUUUGAACUGCUGAAUCUGUCAUUUGGUUUUCUCUUUCGCGCUCACGUCUGUUUCUCUGCGUUCGCGAAGAGUAAUUUUGGAGGAAGGAAUAUUUGUUCUUCGUGUUCGCAUGCGUCCUUUCGCGAUCGCGGAAGCAAGCCCUUCCCUUCUUCGCGUUCGCGUAGUUAUGCCAUUCCGCUCUUCGUGUUUGCGCACUACUUCACGCGUUCGCGAAGAGCAGUCGUUGGGCCAUCAUACUUUUCUUCUCCGAGUUCGCGAGCGUGUUGUCGCGUUCGCGAAGCACAAACUGGACAGCACCCAUUUUUCUUCUUCGUGAACGUGAUUGUUCUUCUGCGUUCACGAUGCAUAAUCACCUGGGCAGCAGAAUAUAUUUUCCAAAUCGAGGGUAGGCCAUUUUUAUCAUAUCUUGACUUGUGGAGCUCGGUUUUUAGCGAUUCUUUGUGAAUUUUUCAAGUAAAUCGAUUGGGUAAGUAUUCUUCACUUAGAAUUUAUUAUAUUCCAUGAUUUUAUCUUUAUUUUUAUCAUUUUAUUUGUGUUUUGAGUUAAGGAAAAUGGAGGUUUUUAAAGAAAAUUUUCAAAAUGAAAAAUUAUGAUUUGAGGGACGAAUUGGUAUCAGAAUUUGAUAAUUUUAGAAUUGUUAAACUCGUAUCGGAAUGAGUGUUCGGGUUUUGUGAGAUUUGUCGGGUUCCGAGGUGCAGGCCCGGGGGUCGAUUUUUAGAUUUUGAUAAAGAUUUAGGCUUUAUGAUUCGGAAUAGUUUUAUGAGUUUUAUUUGUGCUUUGAAGUUAUUUUGAUUAGAUUUGAGCCGUUCGGAGGCCAUUUCACCUGAGAAGUUCAUUUUUGAGUAUCGGUCUGUCUUCUUUGAGGUAAGUAUCUUGCCUAACUUCGUGUGGGGGAACUACCCCUUAGGAUUUGAGUCUUCUUUGCUAAUUGUAGUCCGUGUACGCGAGGUGACGAAUACGUGCUCAGACUUAUUUGUAGGAAAUUAGCCUUUUAGGGUUCUUAGGCCCUUGUAUUCACUGAAUAUGCAGUUGUUCUUGUUAUGAUUACGCUUCUUAAUUACUAGUUUCACCUCUACCUGCUUAAUUAUAAUUAAUUGCUUCAUGAUUCACUAUUAUUGCUUAUUUGAUUCGUAUGUGCCUUAACUGAAAUUGUUGCCUUUCUAUUGCCAUGUUAUCCUUUUCCUAACUGCUUAUCUUUAAUUGAAAUUAUUACUAUCUCUUCUGUAAUUGUUCAGCCUUAAUUGAGGUUAUGAUUAUCCUUCCGCUGUUUCUUCUUAGUUGAAUUUGUUGAUCUCUUUCAUAAUUGCCCAACCUUGAAAGAAGUUAGAUAUCCUAUAUUUUGGUUGACUUGUCCUUAUUUGAAAUUAUUGGACUUGUGUUAGCUCCCUCGUUGUCGAACUAUAUUUUGUGGACCAUUGUUACAUAGUAUUUCCUUUCUUGUUGAGAUGUUCUUAUUAUGACUAGCAUUCCUCGAUUGUGGCUACUCCCUGUAAAUUAGUUCCUUUAUUUCUUUGAGUUCUGGAAUCUCUGAGUUGACUUAUUUGCCGUACCCUUGUAUUAUUGUCAUCGUUGUUGUUCUAGUUGUUGUUGUGAUGCACGAGGUUUCUGUCGUGCAAUUGUUGUUAUUGUGAUGCACGAGGUUUCUGCCUUGCAGUUGUUGUUAUUGUGAUGCACGAGGUUUCUGUCGUGCGAGUGUUAUUGGGUUGCACGAGGUUUCUGCCGUNNNNNNNNNNNNNNNNNNNNNNNNNNNNNNNNNNNNNNNNNNNNNNNNNNNNNNNNNNNNNNNNNNNNNNNNNNNNNNNNNNNNNNNNNNNNNNNNNNNNNNNNNNNNNNNNNNNNNNNNNNNNNNNNNNNNNNNNNNNNNNNNNNNNNNNNNNNNNNNNNNNNNNNNNNNNNNNNNNNNNNNNNNNNNNNNNNNNNNNNNNNNNNNNNNNNNNNNNNNNNNNNNNNNNNNNNNNNNNNNNNNNNNNNNNNNNNNNNNNNNNNNNNNNNNNNNNNNNNNNNNNNNNNNNNNNNNNNNNNNNNNNNNNNNNNNNNNNNNNNNNNNNNNNNNNNNNNNNNNNNNNNNNNNNNNNNNNNNNNNNNNNNNNNNNNGUGGGUUGUGUCAGGGAUUGAUUUGUGAUGACUUGUGAUGGCCUGAGGGCAUUCUUGCUGUUAAUGUUUGUGUAGUAGUACAUUUACCCGUGUGAGUUUUAUCUUGUGGAAAGUUGUGAGAAAACAUUCUAUGUGCUGUCCAUUUCUUUUCCUAUACUUACUAGCUGGCAUGAACCGUGUUAGGACACUUGCACAAGCAUACACGUAGUUGAGCACUCUCAUCGGUUAAGAGGUUUUCUUGAUAUUGCUGAGUAUAGAUGCACAUCCUUGUUACUUGCCUUCUAUAUGAGAAUGGCUCUAUUUGGCACAUGAGUCGUCAGUGCGGUUAUGAAGUGUAAUGAGGGCACAAGAUGCCCAGUGUGAGGGUUCAGGUAUUGGGACCCGUGAGUUGUGAAUAAUAUGAGGUUCGAUACCUCGUGGAGUUUAUUUACUAAAACCUAGUGUGAAAGUGGUUGCUUUCAUCUAGCUGUUACCUGCCCUUCUUUUAAUUGUGUUCAUCGGAUUUAGGUUGUGCUUCCGUUCGUUCUUCUAUGUCAUUACUAUGGUAUUCUGCUGGUAGUUGUUGUUUUCCUUUCUUACUGAAAUUACCGUAUUAUUUGCCAUUUCGCAUAGUCCUUAUGUAGAUAUCAUACUCUAUUGUUCCUAUACUUAUACUUGUUCAGGUUAUUUAGUCCAGUAGGUGUCUUAACUGUACCUCGUCACCACUCCACUGAGGUUAGUCUUGAUACUUACUGGGUACCGUCGUGGUAUACUCAUACUACACUUCUGCAUAUUUUUGUGCAAAUUCAGAUAUUUCGAAGUCCGUUGAUCAUUAGCUAGUUGUGCGGAUUGUUGCUAUGGAGACUCAAGGUAAACUUGUUGCUACGUUCGCAGGUUUCGGAGUCACCUUCUGAUUUGUAUUCUCACUGUUUACUUUAUUUCAAACAGUUGUAUUUAGAAAAUUGUAACAAACUCUGUAGAGCUUAUGACUUGUACUACUGGUUUUGGGAAUUGUAAAUUUUAUAGGGAUUUCCAUUUCAGAAAUUGUUAGAUGUUAUUUAAUCAUUGUUGUUAUUCAGUAAAUAUUAGGAUUACUUAGUCCCUAAGACUAUGUGCCAUCACGAUACCUAACGGAGGGAAAAUUGGGUCAUCACAGAACUCUAAUUCACCAUCAACAAAACGAAUUCAAACCCUCUUAAAUAUACUUGAGUUAUUUUUUUUUGUUUCUGAUUAACCUCUGAAUUUCAGUUUGAUCCUUCUAAAUCAAAAGUAAAACUUCAGCUGUUCUGUAUUCCAUUAAUUGUUUAUCUUCAACGUGUUAUAUUGAAUGUAUGAAUGUGUUUCAUGUGGGUAUAUGGGAUUAUAUUCUCCUUUGUUAGCAAAUGUGUUUCACGGGAAAACAUGUUAGUGGAAAACUUAUAAUAUACCUUCUGACCAAAAAUGUAACAUGUUAUAAGUUAUAUGUUUGUAUACCAUAAAUGAUGUUCAUCCUCCUUUCUCUCUUUUGCUUUGAGACUGGUAAAAAAGAGUAAGGGGGAAUAAAUAUUCGGUCCCGUUCCUGCGUAUUACUAAAGGACAUGACUACACUCAGUAUAGGAAAUUGAAUGUGCUUGUUUUUGUACUAAAAUCCAAGUAUGCGGUUGAAAAAACUCUUCUUUUCCUAUCUAUAAUUUAUGGUUUUGUUUCUUGCAUGUGUAUGGUUAUUGGUUACAGAUUAGAGCAACUUGUACAGCAUUUCCUUUAUUACAUAUUUGGGACAAUCCUAUUACUCCCAGCACGAAAAAGUAUGUCCUUUGGAAGUCGUAAUCUCUUUCUAUGAGUUAUUAUGGAAGUAUAAAUUUUGGUUUUAUAUGUUCUCUUUCUGCUAACCUUCUUGGUGCAUUACUUUUGAAUCUGGCUCUGUUCUCACUUCUUGACUGAGGAUCCAUUUCCUUCGUAUAGUUUCAAAUACUAAAAGAUAAUUAAAGGUAUUGACUCUCUUAGUUUCGUUUCUGGCUUUGAUUAUGUAUGAUCUUUGCUGGUUGCUCUAUUGUAUAGAAUAUGAUCUUUUUUUGAAUUUGGACUUUACAGUCUUAUUUAAAAGGCAAGAACCCAUUUUAAUGCAUCGCAUAAUUGAUCUGCGGUCGCUUAAUGCGCCGCAAACUUUCCUCCAUACUUGCCCCACUCCUGAUUCACUCUGCGGCCAUUAUGCGGUCCGUAGAGUGAUUCUGCGACCGCAUAGUGCGCCGCAGAAAUGACCCUUUUCCGACAAAAAAUUUUCUUUACACAUUGGUGCAUUGUUAGACCCAAAAAGUCCGAGCCGCGAUCUACCUCAGCACCACAAAAACCUUUUCAACUUAAGUUUUUUUUAAACCUUCGAACUAAGUGUUCCAAAUCAUUCCAAACCUCACCGGACCCGAACCAAUUAACCCGGUAAAUCAUAAAAUAACUGAAAAUCAUAACUUGAGCAGUAAAUGAGGAGACGAAGUUGUAAUACUUGAAACGACCGACCGAGUCAUUACAGAAGCGGGUUCAGUUGAACCCACUUGAUCCUACGUGGGUCCGCCGCUGCAUGUACAUGAGAGCAUAUUCUUGUUUAAUUACUUUUAAUAAUUAAUACAAAAUACAUUGUCUAAACCCUAGCCUUCGAUAUCUCUUUUCCAAUUGUGUACUUCUCAAUACUGAAUCGGAUACUUUUGUGAGUUCAACAUUUCCUACGCAUUAAUUUUAAUAAAAAGAUUAGUAUACCAAACAUGCAAUCACAAUAAUAGCACAAAAAUGUCUCGAAUCUUUAAAAGAAAUGUUCACCGUACCCGGAGAAAGAGAGAGCUGAGAAAUGACUGUUAAGAUCGAGAAUCACAAAAUAGGUAAUCCGUCGAUUCCUCACAGAUAAGAGCUUUACAUGACUGUUCCUGUAUGAAUUUAUUGCUAUUCCUGUAUUUCAAACGGGUCACUUAACUUAGAGGCGGAAUUAGAUUUUCAAGGCUAACUGCAUAUAUCAACGAAAAGGAUUUAGGAUUUGAGCAAAUACCUGAUGGAGUCACAAUUAGUGAUUAAGGAUUUUGGGUCUCUAACAUAUGAUUCACAUUUUGGGAGCGGAAUUUGACAAAUUUGAGAUGAGAAAAAAUGGAGAAAUUUCGAGAGAGAAACAGAGCAAAGAAAGAUACGGCUGUGCUUCCUUCUUUUCAAUUAGGACUUGUUUAGUUUUUUAUUUUUCAAAGCCGAGAUUUAGAGGCGACCUAGUCGCCACAGAAUCCCUUCAGAGGCGACUACUUCAGAGUUGCCACUAAAACUUUGGAGUCAAAAUUUUUCCGUUAGCGGGAAUGAAAGAUUCAGCACAUAUUAGUGGCGAACUAAACAGAGUCUCCACUAAUAGUGUACCUACUAUAGGGAUAACAGAUGUCGCUAUAAAUAGUUUAACUUUUG
Molecule: long non-coding RNA, 8972 nt
Filed under: Nicotiana tabacum (common tobacco)
Lineage: Eukaryota; Viridiplantae; Streptophyta; Magnoliopsida; Solanales; Solanaceae
Description: long non-coding RNA (NTAB_LNC011631)
Source: RNAcentral